This 15295-nucleotide long non-coding RNA is filed under the name Triticum aestivum (bread wheat). RNAcentral's name for it is "long non-coding RNA (TAES_LNC014896)". The record is from RNAcentral. Lineage: Eukaryota; Viridiplantae; Streptophyta; Magnoliopsida; Poales; Poaceae.
UGAUGAUGUCAUCGUCGCCGCAGCCCCGUGACAAUGUCGAUGCCGUCGUCAUCGUUGCCGCCGCAACUUCCUGUCCACGUGUUCCCUACUAAGAACUCACAAAUCCUGGAAUUAAACAAUGAACCAAGACCACUACUAGGAACUCACAAAGAACCUGUAGCAUUAGUACAGUAUAACAAUAACCUAUAGAUCACUAAGUAAUAAUAGCAGAAACAAAAGCAUAUAGCAGCAACAUAGUAUAUAUAUAUGAAUUAUAAGUAGUACCAAACAGAUCAAUCCUAGAAAUUGGGGAAAGCCCAACUUAAGAAGGAUACAAUGUUAGGCAUGACCACGAGUGAAAUGAGAUUUAAACAACUUUGCUUUCCACCGGCCAGAAGCUAGAUCCACAUCAACCAUUCUCAGCUUCACUGUCGGCGUUUCAAUCCACUAGAUGACCCGUUGCCGAUGGAAUCAGCUCUGAGGAUAAAUAAACAACCACAUUUACAAGUGUGUACUUUAGGUACCUGUCGGCAACGACAUUGAUCACCUGGUCUCUGCAGAACACAUCCAACUCUUCCUGCGAUCCUGCAACACGUGGCCACCCCAAGCCUGAAAUCCUCGAUGCUCCAUCCAACCUCUGAGUGGCAACAAGGCGAAACCAAGAUCGAUGUCAUGAUGAAGCUUUCCAAAAAAAUGUGUUUCUAUGCACUAAGUGUGCCGAACCGCUAAGGAAAAAACACAUGCCUCAUAAAGUUCCCCUCUGUCGGAUUUCAGGUUCUGGCAGAUCCUUGAGGUUCGAACAUUGGGGUGCGUGCGGAGAUUUCGCCUCCUACCUACUUGCACCCCUCCGCCUCGCUAAGAUCUAAGCUAUGGAAAGAACAGCACAAGAAACACGGGAUUUAUACUGGUUCGGGCCACCGUAGUGGUGUAAUACCCUACUCCAGUGUGUGGUGUGGUGGAUUGCCUCUUGGGCUGAUGAUGAUGAGCAAUACAAGGAAGAACAGCCUCGCGAGGGUCUGUUCUUGGCUGGGGGGACGAACUGCUAGGAGGAGUUCAGUCACCUUUCUCUCUCUCUGAUUCGAUCCUUGAUCCUCGAUACUCGAUCUCUCACCUCCCUCUCUGAUUCGAUCUCUCUCUCCUUCUCUGAUUCUAUCUCUCUCUCUUCCUACCAUGUGGGUGGCUGGUCCUAUUUAUAGGCAAUGGCCCUGGGCCUCUUCCCAAAUAUUGAGCGGGAAGGGCGCCAACAAUUGGCCAUUUUGAAGGGGAACAUCUGGUACACUUAUCCUGACUAAAGUUGGUCCUCGCCUGCACAAAGCUCUGGUGGUGAUGCCGUCUUGGGCUCCACGAUGACCUUCGUCUUGCAGUCCUCCUGGUCUUGGUCUUGUUGCACCGAAAUGGCAACCUUUGCCUGAUGCCUCGGUACUCCGCGGCUGCGCUUGCCCCCUUUGCACCAAAGGGGAAAGGAGGACACUGCACGGGCUGGCGCCCGCCAGGCGCCCUUGGUCGUCAUGGCUUGCGUCACGGGCACCUCGUGAGGUACCCUGCCUUGAUCUCUCCGCCUCCUCACAAGCCAGCCUGGUGAGGCCGUGCCUAAGGAAGCUCCGCGUCGUCCGCCCCGCGAGGCUGGGCACCUCGCGAGGGUCUUGGGUCUGUGUUGAUGAAGAUGGGCCGUGCUGGGCCCCCCCUUGAGCCAUGCCGCAGGCCGCAGGCAGGCAAGUCUGGGGACCCCCGUUCCCAGAACACCGACAGUAGCCCCCGGGCCCAAGGCGCGCCCGGACUUGGCCGUGCAGGGAGGCGGAAGGGCAAGAGCGAAGCGCCGUGGGCCCUAACAGCCUGCGGUCUUGGGCGCCGCGUGGCGGUUGAUUGGACGUGGGCGUCUCCACUUCCCCAUGGCGCCUCGGCAACUGCACGGAUUGGACAAGUCCCUGCAUGCAAAGCGGGUCAUGAUUACCUGCGAUCGUGGAGGUCGGCGGUUGGCCUUCGCCGGCCAUAAGUACGGAACGGCGCGCGCCCUUCUAGUCCAUCCCUUCUUGCUUCUCCUUCUUCCCGGUCCUUGCUCCGUCUUGCUGUGAUGGCUCCGAUCCGCCGGUUCUCGACGGCAGAGAAGGGAAAGGCUCCCCGAGAGGAACCAGACCCGCUCCCGCCGAAGAAACGACUCGUCCUCCACGAACCGGACGAGGGGGCCCAUCAGGUGGUGUCGAGGCCCUGGGGCCAGCGGCCACCGCCGGGGUUCCCGCUUCCUUUGUACGCCCACAACGAGGGCCCUGAAGGAGCUGAUGCUGAUCGCCACAGGCGGCGCUGCCGUCGGCGCCGACGGGUCACGAAGGUGUGGGUCGUCCCCCCUGGGGUCCACACCGAGGGCUCCUCCCGAGAGUUCAUGUUCCACGCCGCCAUGCCUCCUCAGUCUUGGAUUCGCCUUCCUCCCUUCUUCGCCUCCAUCAUCCCGCAGGGAGAACUCCUAGAGCUUUGGCUGCAGCACGCUAGUUGCAGCACCCUCGCGACCGAGGCAGAGGUCACGGUCGUUGCCCCGGGCGAGGUCUUCAUGACUCGAGGCUGGAGCGAAGUCGCCCGGGUUUGCAGGACAAGAGGCGCCUUCACGAUCCACUUGGAGUACGACGGUGCUUCGGUGAUGUUCUUCAAGGUCUUCGAUGCGAACGGGCGCCGGCUGGAGUGUUGCCCUGGGAGAGGUGGUCGGGACCCUGCUGCGGCGAGGACUGGGCCCGCCGACCGCUCCCAUGGCGGCUCCUCAAGCGGCGGAGGCGUCGGAGGUUCCAGCGACUCCGGCGAGCUCUUCGCGACUCCGGAGACGAGCGACGACAGCUACGAGCCCCCGAGCCGGCGCCGCUCCUGGAGCAGGGCGGGCUCGUCAGGCCGUCGCCGCCCCUGAUCUGGAUGGGGUUGGCGCCGGUGCUUGACGGCCCACUGUUGAUGAUGGCGUCUUUUGCAGGGGCGCGCGUAGUUAGCGUCCUUUUAGGAUCUAUUCCCUGCGAGGAAUCAAAGACGCGUCCUGUGGGGGCUUGUAAGGUGCUUGUGAUCAUGUUUUGUUAAUAUAACCCUUGUCGUAGAAUUGUGCGAGUUGCUCAUUCCGUCUUAGCUCAGUUCUCCCUUUCGAACCUCACGAGGGCUUGGUGCUCUGCGCCGACAGGUCCCAGUCCCAAGGCGGCUUCAGCCGUUGCUGGUAUGCCAGGUCGCGAUGCCGUGGUCAAGGCCAGGAGGUGAGCGACCCGGAGUCCGGUAAGAGCCCCUGAGUCGCGAUGCUCAAGAGGUCCCAUUUGGCGCUCAAGCAGCCGUCGUUCGGUGAGAAAGGAGAGCGGCGUCGCUAACACGGGAUUGCAUUAGGUGCGGGGAUGGUGCCACGAUAGCUGGUGCUUCCGGGUGGUGACUUAUCUCGAGAAUCAGGGGUCGCUCUCUGGUGUGUCGCCGGGUCCGUGCAUCGGCAGGCGUGAGGUUGCUUGGCGAGGUCCUCGCGUGUCCCUCCCCUCUCACCUUUGCUCCCCUUUCUACUCUACAUCCUCGGGUCCCGGCCCUCGAGCGAGUCUCAGCCGUCGCUGGUAUGCCAGGUCGCGAUGCCGUGGACAAGGCCAGAGGGUGAGGGCUGGAGAGCCAGUAGGAGCCCUGAGUCGCGAUGCUCAGGCACCCCCCCCUUUAACAUGCAAGCGGUUCGUGCGGAUGAGAGUGAAGGAGACACCGCAAGGGCCUCGCCUGACGCGGCUCCUUUAGGAGAUCCUGUAAACCCAUCAUAGAAAGAACAAGGGGUUGCCAUGAUAAUUGACAGUCAGCCGGUGGUUGCUUCCGAGGGGCGAUGAGGCACUGAAGGCUUGAUGAGGUGGCGCCAUGCAGGGCUGCCGCGGCCAGAGCUCAGCCAUUCAGGUUUGUCGGUGUUGCAGGGACGGACCCAUGCGCAAGCGUCGUGCCGUUUGGGAGCAGUUCCGUCAGUUGGCGUCAGUUGAGCGGGCAACUAGGUCAAACACAUUAGCCGCGAAGGAGUGGAUUCAUUCAAAUAGAUGCUGGGAAGGCGGACAUCACUGGGUCAGGCCCGAGCGACUUGGGGAUGAUGCAGCCCAUGGGGCGCCCCCAACAAAGUAAGCUAACAACAUGAAAUAAAAGGGAUACAUGCCGCAGGGACGGACCCACGCGGCCUGGGAAUAAUGCAGCCCUGGGGGGCGCUCCCAGCUGGAAAUGAAACUUGAAAGAUGUCACCUGAUGAUGUUGAGGAUGAAGGAGUGUUGGUGUAGCAGACUCGGUGGGCCGCGGAAGCCGAUCCUCACGAGCCCCCAGGCCCAGGGGCCUCGGGAGGCUCCGGAGGCGCUGGUGGCUCCUCGCGGACCAUCUCCAUCUCCGCCAGGGCUACGAAACGCCUGGCCUCUUGAGCCUCCAUGAUACCCCUCAUGAGGCGCUGGUACGUGGCAGCCGCGUUCGGCAAGCCGUAAGUCAUGCGAACGUAGCUGUGGGGUGGACCUCCACAGCGCCCCACUCGCGAGGGCCAGAGGCGCUCCAGAGAGGCGACUCGAUUGAGCCCUGGUAUGUCGAUGCAGACGCGCAGCCCACCAUCCUCGCCUGGAUGGGGAGCCACUGCUGGUAGGCGGCCGCCUUUCAUAACUCUUGACUCCUAUAGCUCCUGAAUGGCCUUGCCGACGAACUCCUGAGGGUCUGGCUCUCCUUGCCUUACUCCUUCUUGAGGGAAACGUGCUUCGAAACACGCCUCCAUGUGGUGCCCAAGCGCCUCCCUCGUGACCCUAGCUAGGUCGGUGGCCCUCCAGGGGAGAGCCCCUGAGCCCUGCCUGAGGAGGGCGCCGGGCGUGCUUUCCUAUGAGAUGGAAGGAGGUUCCCCUGGGCAGGCGCGGGCCCAGAGGGGCCUGCCUCCUGAGGGGCCAGGCCGGACGAUGUCUUCUUCUUCUUGGGGGCGGCCUCGGGAAGCCUCCUGCUUCCGCGAUCCGGAUCUUCCAGUGACGCGGCCUGAAAGGCUCGUUCCAGGGAACACACCGCGUCCUUCUCUUCACAGGGCACCGUGAUGACUCCGCCACUUCCUGGCAUCUUGAGGAUGUUGUAGCCGUGGUGAGUUACGGCCAUGAACAUGGCCAGCGCUGGGUACCCAAGGAUGGCGUUGUACGGCAGGCGAAUGUGAGCGACGCCGAAGUCGAUGAGCUCGGUGCGGUAGUUGUCGCGUGCCCCGAAGGUGACAGGGAGGCGGACCUGCCCAAUCGGGACCGUGGAGCCGUCGGUGACUCCGGAGAAAGGCUUGGUUGGCUGAAGCUGGCUGUAGGGCACUUGGAGAUUGUUGAAUGUUUCCACAGACAGGACGUUGAGCCCUGCCCAGCCAUCGAUGAGGGUCCUGGUGACCACCACGUUGCUGAUGAUUGGGGAACAAAGCAUCGGGAGGACUCUGGCUGUAGCCGCACACUUGAGCUGAUCUGCUGAGCUGAACAUAAUGGCGCACGCCGACCACCUGAGAGGGCGCGUGGCUUCGAGCUUGGGGAGGACUGUAUUCACUUCGCGGGCGAACUGCUUGAAGAUGCGUUGAGAGGCUGGGGCUUGAGCCCCGCCCAGGAUGCAGGUGAUCACGCACGGCUCCUGGAAUCCCCCAGCCCCCUUGUCUUGGUGGCGGUCCUCGUUUCUCCUUGGUUGCGGUGGCAGCGGAGGGAGGCCUGCGUUGCCUUGCGGGCGAUCCUCGCGAGACUGAUCCCUCCAGUCUCCCUCGCAAGGCGGAUCUUGCCAGCGAUCCUCGCGAGGUUGAUCGCGCCACCCUUGGCGCAGGCCACGGUCUUCCCAGCGUCCUGUGUUCCUUCCUCCUCCUCGACCGUAGCCCCGGUCACCGCGGUCGGGACGACGGCCGAUCCUUCCUUCUCGCAUGGCUCGGAGCUCUUGACAUUCAUUGGUGUUGUGGGUGUGGAGGUCGUGGUACACACAGUACCGACUGCCCUUGGAAGGUUCGGGCUGAUCUCUGCCCCGCUUGGUGUCUGGUUCUGCCGCGAGCACGGCAGCCCCCUUGCGCUUCACAUCCUUGGCCUUGGGCUUCUUCUCUUCUGGGUCUGCGGCAGGCAGCUCGAGGAGGGAGAGACGCCUUUCCUCAGCCCUGGCGCACUUGGUUGCCAAGUUGAACAGCUCCAAGGAAGUGCACAGGUCUUCAUGCAUCGCCAGCUCCUCCUUCAUCUUGACAUCACGCAUGCCGUCGGAGAAGGCUGAGAUGAUGGCCUCCUCAGUCACCUUGGGAAUGUUGAGGCGUGCGUUGUUGAAGCGCUGGAUGUACUUCUGCAGGGUCUCCCCGGGUUGUUGCUUGAUGCGGCGCAUGUCGCUCACAGCGGGUGGCCGGUCGCGAGUACCUUGGAAGUUGGCGAUGAAGCGGGUGCGCAUCUCGUCCCAGGAGGAGAUCGUGCCUGGAGCCAGGUUCAGGAGCCAGGUGCGGGCCCCGUCCUUGAGCGCCAUGGGAAACCAGUUCGCCAUGACCUUCUCGUCUCCGUUGGCAGCUUCGAUGCCCAGCUCAUAGAGCUGGAGGAACUCCGCAGGGUCGGCCGUGCCGUCGUAACGAGGAGGCAGGUCUGGCUUGAACUUGCCGGGCCACGCGACGCUGUGUAGCUCGGUGGUGAAGGCACGGCAACCUGAUGUGGCCACGGGAGGCCUUGGGUGGCGGAGAGCUUGGUCUUGCAUGUCCCCACGCACUGCAGCUGGGAGCGGCACGGGGUCUUGAUGUGCAGGAGCAGGAGCAUGGUCGCGACGUGCUGGAGCAGGGAGCGCCCGGGCAGCUUCUUGCGGGCGAGGGACUUCUUGGCAGCUCUGCUCUUGCCGCGCUGGCACCUGACAGAACGGGUUCCGCCCAGGGGCCACGCGCCUUGGAGCCAUGGCGCCUUCUUGAGGAGGAGGCGGCCAGGGCGCCGCCGGAGCCUCGUUGCCCGCGCGGGGCAGGGUGCGGUGCAGCGGAAUGGACGGCGCAGGAGAGCCCCCUGCGGAGCGGGCGAGCUCGGCGACGCGGUCGAGCCAUUCUUCAUAGACGUCGUCGAUGGGACGGUAGCACAGGAGCUCGUUUGCCGUGAUGAGUGCAGCUCGAGCCUCCAUGGGUGCGCGGAGCGCGCAGGACGAAGAACCAGCUGGGGUGAGCGAGGGAGUAGCGGUGCAGCUGUCUUGCCGCACGGACGGAUGCUGAGACGAUGCUUGCUGCUCGUCCCCCGCCGGGCCGGUGGCGGCGUUGACGGCAGGUGACGGGGAACGGCGAGGACGCCCGCCGACAGGAGCUGUCUGGGCGACGCGGGAAGCGAGAGCGGCCCAGCGCUCGGCGCGGGCCCGACGAGCAUCAGACAUGGACGCGAUGGUCGGAGGAGAACGGGGUUGUGGAAGACGAAUUUCGGCGCACCCCUACCUGGCGCGCCAAAUGUCGGAUUUCGGGUUCCGGCAGAACCUUGAGGUUCGAACACUGGGGUGCGCGCGGAGAUUUCGCCUCCUACCUACCUGCACCCCUCCGCCUCGCUAAGAUCUAAGCUAUGGAAAGAACAACACAAGAAACACAGGAUUUAUACUGGUUCGGACCACCGUUGUGGUGUAAUACCCUACUCCAGUGUGUGGUGUGGUGGAUUGCCUCUUGGGCUGAUGAUGAUGAGCAAUACAAGGAAGAACAGCCUCGCGAGGGUCUGUUCUUGGCUGGGGGGACGAACUGCUAGGAGGAGUUCAGUCACCCUUCUCUCUCUCUGAUUCGAUCCUUGAUCCUCGAUACUCGAUCUCUCACCUCCCUCUCUGAUUCGAUCUCUCUCUCCUUCUUUGAUUCUAUCUCUCUCUCCCUACCAUGUGGGUGGCUGGUCCUAUUUAUAGGCAAUGGCCCUGGGCCUCUUCCCAAAUAUUGAGCGGGAAGGGCGCCAACAAUUGGCCAUUUUGAAGGGGAACAUCUGGUACACUUAUCCUGACUAAAGUUGGUCCUCGCUUGGACAAAGUUCUGGUGGUGACGCCAUCUUGGGCUCCACGAUGACCUCCGUCUUGCAGUCUUUGAUAGUGUCCUGGACUAGGGGGUACUCACCAUGUCGUCUCCUGAUCUAUUAGAUUGGGCCGAGGACCCCCGUGGUCGUAUACUUAUGGGCCAGUUCAGACAGCUGCCACAUAUAAGGAAGAUUCCACAAGACUUGGCAAUCAAGGCAAGGACUCCACCCUACCGGCGUAUUCGGCUAGGACUCUUGUUAUCCUAGGCCUCUGGUGCAUUAUAUAAACCGAGGCCAGGCUAGUCGAUAAAAAUAACUCCAUAUACAACAAUCAUACCAUAGGCUAGCUUCUAGGGUUUAGCCUCCUUGAUCUCGUGGUAGAUCUACGCUUGUACUACCCAUAUCAUCAAUAUUAAUCAAGCAGGAGUAGGGUAUUACCUCCAUCGAGAGGGCCCGAACCUGGGUAAAAACAUCGUGUCCCUUGUCUCCUGUUACCAUCCGGCCUAGACGCAUAGUUCGGGACCCCCUACCCGAGAUCCGCCGGUUUUGACACCGACAUUGGUGCUUUCAUUGAGAGUUCCGUUGUGUGAUCGACAAAAGGAUCGAUGGCUUGCCUGCAGAUCAACUGCGACUUCGGCAUCUUCGUCACCAGCUCGACUGGUCACCUUGGUUCGACCAAGAAUUGCGCCCCGUGUUCGGAUCACCAUGUCCGGACGAGGGCCUUCAUCAAACAUCAACUCCGAUCUCUAUCAAGAUCACGAAGGAAUCAUCUAUGGAGCUCGGGGGCUCAACGUCAACAUUGCCCUUAAGCGACCGUGCUGUUUUUCUGGACAGCGAACUCGUAUCUGCCACCACCACCUCCUCGAGUAUCGCUUUCACGAUCGCUCUGGUGGAAUUAUGCGGAAUUGAGUCUACAACAACCCUGGAAAAUUUCGUCGAGUUCCGAUGGAGGAAUCUCUGGCAAUCCACGAUAUACCGGAGCCCUGUCAAAUCUGGACGGGAAUUUGGAUGAGUUUAGGGCGUGGUGUCCAGAUUCUAGCUCGGACGUCCUUUGGAAGAUCCAACCGUUGAUCGGCUGCGGAAUUCCUAUAUCUACCUCCUCUCAAAAUUUUGGCUCGAUCCGACCGUCCAAACUCCGGGAACCUUCCGAUUAGUGCAUCACUUUUCGGAUCUGUUUUCUGCGCGAAAACGAAUCCAACCCGAGUUCAUCUUUUUUAUGAACAGGAUUUCAGACAUCCCUUCUGAAGGAAGUUUUGUAUGGGGUAUUGUGUUUUGUUCCCGAACACAUCCCACUAACUUUAAGAUCUUUUGAGCAUGAUCUUCAACAUCAUGCUGGUGUCAAACCAGUCUGGCAAUAUUACUCCACGACUGCCGACCUGCGCUAAGACACGGCGUCACUUUGUUGAGCCGAGCUUAACUUCUUCGGAUCAUCAUCUCGGCAAGCCGAACAAGAGUCCGGCAUCGCGAAGGAUAAAUCAUCACCAACAUCGCCGCCCCACGGAUUACACGGAGCGGGCAUACCAGCAUCGCCGCACGGUUGCUUCAUCAAGCCGGCAUCGACCACGUCACGACCUGCAGCGACAGGGCCGCACUAUCGCUUCUUCAAGCUGGUGUCCAUUACGCCGACCUACUUCGACUCAUCGGCUGACAUCGGGGCUUCGACAUCUCGGCUGGACCGGGGGCUUCGCCGUCUCUUCAUCAACCUACUCCGGACACUUCGGCGUCACUGGCCGACCAGCUCCGUCACGUUAGCUGGGCCGAGGGCUUUGCCUCGGUGAGCCAACCUUUAUCAGCAUUGCCAUGCCAUUGUUUUAUCGCCCAUCAGGCAAUGGGUGUGCCGAUCGAGUCCCAAUUUUGGGAAUCACCUUCCUUCGGAUUGCUACAACAAAUAAACCAAGUGCUAUCAAUCCCUAAUAUUUUUUGCUUGUUCGGGUUCAUUUUUCCCAAGAAAUUAUUACUCUGAUUUGUCCAUCAUAUGUACAUAGGUCUAUCAAAUGGUAGCCGCAUUCACGAUAGUCGCAUGGUGGUUCGGUCAAUUUCCGUACAUAGUCCGGCGAACGCCGCAUCCGGAGCUCGGACCGACCUGCGAAUUCAGGCUUUGCCACGCCUUUACCGCAUCACGCCGACGCCCUACAUCGACAUUGACUUCGGCGCCAGGCCAUAUUUCUUUUAUUACUCACUUUGCAUAAAUUAUUUAUUAUGCAACGAUUUUUUUUUAAAUUAUCAUUAUUACUACUAUCUCCGGUUUUGCACUAUUUUCUGUGCACAGGAAAAUGAUCCGGGGACUUUGGCGUCACUCUGCCGGUCUGCAUUGACCGUGCUAUGUCACCACUUCGGCAUGUCGAGCUCUCCGCGUCGCCACCUCGGGACCGGCUUGGGGGAUGGAACCUUGCCCCGCAUCAAGCUCGGACUGCGUCAUCAAUACCGAACACAUUAACCAGCUAAGUCGCUUUCAUGCUCAAAGCUUUAAUUUCUAACUUGUGUUCGGUUCGGCCAAGAACUAUACUUUUUGGAAAAAAGUUGCUUGUAAAAAAUUUCCUUGUCCAAACUUUGUUUGUGACGCAUAAAUUCAAAUACCCCGUUUACUUGGGGGCUUCCUUUAUGAAGCUUUUCCUCUUGCAUAUGAUUAUACUUGUACGGCUUCGUUCCUUGUUCAUGUAUUAUGCCACAAUAUGCAUCAUAUUGACUUAAGAGAUUUGCAAGCUGGGUUGCCUCGCUCCUGUGUUUACCCCUACGUUCCCGAUUGUUCGUCUAGGGAGUAAAGGGAGCACCUCUGCGAUUGUCACGAUCGGGUCACCCGAGCCAGACCUCAGACUGGGUGAAGCCGAAAGCUAGCGCUCUUAUAGUUAUUCAAUGAUGGUCGGCACACAACGGAACUCAUGAGUACAAAAAUCUAUUGCACAAGUCUCAUAAUAACAAUGAGCACCGAAGAAAGGUAUCAGUGGGGGUACUAUUUUCUUCGAAGAUGCUUCUUACACUUCACAGUAAUAUAGCAUAAGUUCCCUGAGCGCGCUUUGUCUGUUACAGCCUUAUGGCCUGAUUGCCUGGUUAUUGGAAACACCGUCGAUAUUCUCGACCGAUGGAGUACAUAAAACUUUUCGGUCCUUUACCGAAGAGGGAGAAGCUGACGGUCGGUUAAGACGCGUUUAAAGUUCGGUUGAACAUAGAUAUGAUAUAAGUACUUUGGUACAUGCAAUCAUUCUUCUACCCAAGUCACUUGGGGGCUCUUAAAAUUUCUAUGAGCUAUUUUAUAGUAAAUGUGUUUUCUUCUUGGUCGUUGCAAAGUCUUUUUCUAUCGCUCCUUUUUCGACGUGAGUGUGUGGUCAAUAGCCAGAUAACCCAUUUUCUCGCUAGCGACCGCUCGAGUUUAGUUCGCUAAACUGGUCUAAUGAGAAGCACUCCGCCUUCGAGAUAGGAGGCUGCAGCCGUAGGCUGGCCCGCUUGAAGUCUUGAGAUCGGAUGUGUAAUGUUAAAGCAUGACAGAAGCACUCUUUUUUUUCUAAGACCAAUUUUCGGAUUGGCACCGAACACUUGAUAUUGUUCGGACGUCAUGUUUUUACUGACGUUUCUUGGUUUUCCAAGCUUUUUGGCACUUUUAAACUAUUUGUGCUUUUCCAGCAUUAGUCUUGCAGUGCAACGCCGGACACCUUUAGGGGUUCGGCAAAGACAUUCUCAGAUAUUGCUAUAUAUGCAUCGGUUUCGAAUUGUGUCUUCGGUCAAUAGUUGGGUUGCCGGCUCCUGCACUUGCUUCCUACGUUUCGUUUUGUUUGGCUAGGCGUGCAAAGGGAGAACCACUGCGAUUGUGCUUCCAGCUCACAUGGUUAAGCACCUUAGUGGAGAAAGCCGAAAAUUGACUGUCACAAUAAGCGUAAACUGGUCAGCGAUCCGAUGACUAUGACAGGCCAUUCAUAACAUUGGCCGAAGUGUUUACGGCUUGACCUCGACUGUCGCCGAACACUACCGGGGGCUAUUAACUGGCCUCCCAAACUAAAUCCUCGAUAUUUUGCUCUUACAUUCGAGCUGAGGUUUCAUGAUCAUGCUUAGCAUGACAACCCAAAGAAAGGAACCGAUAGCGGGACUAUUUUCUUUGGAAUACAUUUCUUCUGUUAAACAGUAAUAUAACAUAUCUCUCUGCGUACCUUUGUUUAUAAAACCGUAUGGCCAGAUUGCCUUGUUUGUUGUAAAUAUUUGCCCUCAUAAAGGCUUUAUAAAGUAGGACAAACACUCCUCGGCUACUGGCCGAGGAGGUGGAAGCCGAUGGUCGGUCAACAAAGUUUUGUACAAUGCGGAUCCGAGCAUUAAUGACGUAAAGUACUUGGAUACAUAGAGUCAUUACACAUAAUUUGUGAUUUUACUAUGGAUAUUGAUCCUUAAUUCGGCCACCCGUGCCCGCAUUAAGGCUCGGGGGCUACUGGGCUUUGGGCUUAUUAUUUACAAAUAUUAAAGGGGCACAUCGAUCCCCUGAUCUGGUGUUGCCACCCAACCAGUGUCUCGGGGGCUACUGCAUUGCCUGUUCAAUGCAGAAAAUUUUAUGUGCAAUAUAAUUUCCGAGGAGAUUUUGAUCCUCAGGUUGGUCGGCCGCACCCAACCUGAUUCUCGAGGACUGAGCACGCCGCAUUUAGUGUCCCAAAGUAUUCUGCCGAGCUAGGACUUGAUCCUCAGGCCGAUUUUGCAAAUCAACCUGAGUCUCCGCGGCUGCUGGGAUCAGUGGUCUUACGUCAUCCUUCAGGUGCAUCUCUGGUUUUAGACCGAUACACACCUUGAGAGCUACUGGCUAUAUAUCUCGGCAAAGAAUAAAUUGCACCAAUAAAAAAUAUUGACAAAAAAUCGGCCCAUAGUCGGGGUGGUGCACCACCUCGGAAGCAGUCUGGCAUAAAGCUCGAGCGCUAGUGGCUGGCUCCAUAGAGGGCAUUUCCGGCAUUAAGCUCGGCUAAACUCCUUCAACUUUUUUGAACCAAGGUGAUAUGACACCUUGGAUAUAGUCCGGCAUUGGAGCCUGGACACAGUCCGGCGUUGGAUCUCGGAUAUAUUUCGGCGUUGGAGCUCGGAUAUAUUUCGGCGUUGGAGCUCAGAUACAUAGUCCGGCGUUGGAGCUCGGAUACAUUCCGGCGCUAGAGCUGGGAAGCGGUCCGGCGUUGGUGCUCGGCUGCAAAAGAUACCUCGAAUGCAGUCCGGCGUUGGAGCUCGGACGCAAGAGGACCCUGCCUCCCGGGAACAACUUCAAACCCGAGGUGUGGCAUAAAAAUAAACAAGGCAUUGAUAAAGGUCGGAAACUUAAAGGGACUCCUUGGAUACCCGACGUGUAAAGUCGUCGAAUGCAUUUCGGCGAUCCUCAAGAUCGAAGAUAGAGAAGAUUUGUUGAACCGGUUUUCAAGACCGAUGACCAAAGAUGAAGAACAGUUCGGAAGAAUCGAGGAGCGUCCCUAACUUGAAGACCGGUUCAGGGGGCUACUGACGGUGUCCUGGACUAGGGGGUACUCACCACGUCGUCUCCUGAUCUAUUAGAUUGGGCCGAGGACCCCCGUGGCCGUAUACUCAUGGGCCAGUUCGGACAGCUGCCGCAUACAAGGAAGAUUCCACAAGACUUGGCAAUCAAGGCAAGGACUCCACCUCACUGGCGUAUUUGGCUAGGACUCUUGUUAUCCUAGGCCUCUGGUGCAUUAUAUAAACCGAGGCCAGGCUAGUCGAUAAAAACAACUCCAUAUACAACAAUCAUACCAUAGGCUAGCUUCUAGGGUUUAGCCUCCUUGAUCUCGUGGUAGAUCUACUCUUGUACUACCCAUAUCAUCAAUAUUAAUCAAGCAGGAGUAGGGUAUUACCUCCAUCGAGAGGGCCCGAACCUGGGUAAAAACAUCGUGUCCCUUGUCUCCUGUUACCAUCCGGCCUAGACGCACAGUUCGGGACCCCCUACCCGAGAUCCGCCGGUUUUGACACCGACAGUCCUCCUGGUCUUGGUCUUGUUGCACCGAAAUGGCAACCUUUGCCUGAUACCUCGGUACUCCGCGGCUGCGCUUGCCCCCUUUGCACCAAAGGGGAAAGGAGGACACUGCGUGGGCUGGCGCCCGCCAGGCGCCCUUGGUCGUCAUGGCUUGCAUCACGGGCACCUCGUGAGGUACCCUGCCUUGAUCUCUCUGCCUCCUCGCGAGCCAGCCUGGUGAGGCCGUGCUUGAGGAAGCUCCGCGUGUCUGCCUCGCGAGGCUUGGCCCCUCGCGAGGGUCUUGGGCAUGUGUUGAUGAAGAUGGGCCAUGCUGGGCCCCCCCUUGAGCCACGCCGUAGGCCGCAGGCAGGCAAGUCUGGGGACCCCCGUUCCCAGAACGCCGACACCCUCUAAUUGUGAGAUUAUCAGAUUCACACAGGAAAGUUGCUUCGAACAUUAACUGAAAUAGAAUGUAUGAGUUCCAAAAGUUCCCCUCUAAUUGUUACACAUAUAAUUAUGUGCAGUCAAACUUGGCACUAAAAGCAAGAUAUUUUAUCGCUACCAAAUGCCUCAUAAAGUAGCACCAAGCUACAGAAUCAGUUUGCACCAAGCUAGAUUGUGUUCGAAUUUUAUAGGAAGGAUAGUUCGCUAGGCAGUAGGACACAACAUGCAAAGUAGCCAGGCUAAACAGACUUUAUGGGAGUAAACUAAAGUGAUCAAGUAGGUAAAUAUAAAAAAGUGAGCAGAUUGACCACUAUUAUGCUUAGAGUAAGAUUACUAAUUACUAAACAAGCACUACUACAAUACCAUGCUGAAUCUACAAUGAAUAUGGAUUCAACCUUAGGCAGUCCAACUCUUGGUUGUUGUUAUAAUGAACACUCUGCUACCCAGUCACCUCCAUUUUUACUGUUAUUAUUUAUCUCAUCAUUUAUAUGCCUAUGCAUGAACAAUAGUAGAAAGUAUUACUGAAAUUGAGCCAAUCUUUGAGAGGGUUGUUACCUUCACAUUGAUACCAAGGCUAUCCACAACCAGAAUAGAAGCAAAAUUCACCUGAAAUAACUUACAUAUGUCAUCCCUAAAUAUAUUUAAAUGGAAACAUUAACAUUUGUCUUUUUCUACAGUUAACAAAUAUCCUGAUACAACUCAAGAUGGUGUGAAGCAGCCAUAUAAUGGUUUUUCAUUGGAAAAAUACUAAGCUUCAAUGCUACUGCAUCCUUCUCUCCCAUAUACUUGCUCGAGGAUUUGGUGAAUUUAGCAUCUCACGAGAUUCAGCAAACUGCAGUUAUUACAGAAUACCAUUACAAUGCAACUAAAAGAACAAUGAUAGGCUGAUUGAAGAAUGAAUUGACUCAGGCCCAUGAUGCAUAUUUAUUGACAUUUGGCCUCAACUUAGCAGCAGUAGUGAGUAGUGGAAGAAGGGGAGGGAGAUGGAGAUACACCUGUCGUGGUGGGUCAUCAUGGCCAUGCUUGAGCUCGUGCAGGACCUCUUGGUCGCCCUAGG